Molecule: ribosomal RNA, 301 nt
Filed under: uncultured bacterium
Lineage: Bacteria
Description: partial 16S ribosomal RNA
Rfam family: Bacterial small subunit ribosomal RNA
Source: RNAcentral
CAGCAGCCACGGGAAUACGUAGGGUGCGAGCGUUAAUCGGAAUUACUGGGCGUAAAGCGUGCGCAGGCGGUUUGUUAAGACAGAUGUGAAAUCCCCGGGCUUAACCUGGGAACUGCAUUUGUGACUGGCAAGCUAGAGUGUGGCAGAGGGGGGUGGAAUUCCGCGUGUAGCAGUGAAAUGCGUAGAUAUGCGGAGGAACACCGAUGGCGAAGGCAGCCCCCUGGGCCAACACUGACGCUCAUGCACGAAAGCGUGGGGAGCAAACAGGAUUAGAUACCCCGGUAGUCCCUGUCUCUUAUAC